AAAGGAAUAGACGGGGGCCCGCACAAGCAGUGGAGUAUGUGGAUUAAUUCGACGCAACGCGAAGAACCUUACCAGGUAUUGACAUUGAGCGCAUACCGUGGAAACACGGGAAGUCCUUCGGGACGCUCAAACAGGUGGUGCAUGGUUGUCGUCAGCUCGUGUCGUGAGAUGUUGGGUUAAGUCCCGCAACGAGCGCAACCCUUACCGAUAGUUACUACGAAAGAGGACUCUAUCGGGACUGCCGUUGACAAAACGGAGGAAGGUGGGGAUGACGUCAAAUCAUCAUGCCCUUUAUGAUCUGGGCUUCACACGUACUACAAUGGUCGCCAACAAUAGGAACCGAAAGCGCGAGCUGGAGGGAAACCAUUAAAAGCGAUCUCAGUUCGGAUUGCAGGCUGCAACUCGCCUGCAUGAAGUCGGAAUUGCUAGUAAUCGCGGAUCAGCAUGCCGCGGUGAAUACGUUCCCGGGCCUUGUACACACCGCCCGU
RNAcentral lists this ribosomal RNA (488 nucleotides) under uncultured bacterium. Its description in RNAcentral is "bacterial SSU rRNA". It matches the Rfam family "Bacterial small subunit ribosomal RNA", at positions 903 to 1397 of the family's 1533-position model. The record is from RNAcentral.